GGCGAACGGGUGAGUACGCGUUGGUGACCUACCUCAAAGAAGAGAAUAACCUCGGGAAACUGAGGCUAAUACUCUAUGUGCUUCAAGUGGUUAGAGAUAUUUGAAGGAAAGGCUCUGUGAACGAAAGUUUACAGCGUCGCUUUGAGAGGGGCCUGCGUCCCAUCAGCUAGUUGGUAGGGUAAAAGCCUACCAAGGCGAUGACGGGUAGGGGACCUGAGAGGGUGAUCCCCCACACUGGCACUGAAACACGGGCCAGACACCUACGGGUGGCAGCAGUAGGGAAUAUUGCGCAAUGGACGAAAGUCUGACGCAGCAACGCCGCGUGUGCGAUGAAGGCCUUCGGGUUGUAAAGCACUUUUCUGAGGGAAGAGAAAGGACGGUACCUCAGGAAUAAGUCUCGGCUAACUACGUGCCAGCAGCCGCGGUAAUACGUAGGAGGCGAGCGUUAUCCGGAUUUAUUGGGCGUAAAGGGCGUGCAGGUGGUUUGGAAAGUUGGGUAUGAAAUCUCCUGGCUUAACUAGGAGAGGCUGCUCAAAACUUCCAGGCUAGAGGACGGUAGAGGGAGGUGGAAUUCCCGGUGUAGUAGUGAAAUGCGUAGAUAUCGGGAGGAACACCAGUGGCGAAGGCGGCCUCCUGGGCCGUUCCUGACACUGAGACGCGAAAGCAUGGGUAGCAAACGGGAUUAGAAACCCCGGUAGUCCAUGCUGUAAACGAUGUGAACUUGAUGUUGGCAGCGUAAUAGCUGUCAGUGUCGUAGUUAACGCGAUAAGUUCACCGCCUGGGGACUACGACCGCAAGGUUAAAACUCAAAGGAAUUGACGGGAGCCCGCACAAGCAGCGGAGCGUGUGGUUUAAUUCGAUGAUACGCGAAGAACCUUACCUGGGCUUGACAUAUAGGUGGUAGGGAUCCGAAAGGUGACCGACUCUUCGGAGAGCCUAUACAGGUGCUGCAUGGCUGUCGUCAGCUCGUGCCGUGAGGUGUCCGGUUAAGUCCGGUAACGAGCGCAAUCCUUGCCGUAUGUUACAUGUGUCAUGCGGGACUGCCGGUAUAAAACCGGGGGAAGGUGGGGAUGAUGUCAAGUCAGCAUGUCCUUUAUGUCCAGGGCUACACACACGUUACAAUGGUCGGUAUCAAUGGGUAGCAAAGUCGCGAGGCGGAGCCAAUCCUCAAA
Molecule: ribosomal RNA, 1172 nt
Filed under: uncultured organism
Description: bacterial SSU rRNA
Rfam family: Bacterial small subunit ribosomal RNA
Source: RNAcentral